Molecule: long non-coding RNA, 1602 nt
Organism: Glossina fuscipes
Lineage: Eukaryota; Metazoa; Arthropoda; Insecta; Diptera; Glossinidae
Exons: 3
Source: RefSeq, a predicted model, not a curated record
AAGUUUGAUUAGAAAAUCGUUCUUAGAAAAUAACAUCAACCACAAAAGUGUACAUUUAAUUAACUCACAUAGCAAAUAUAAAAUUGGAGAAAAAUUUUAGCAUUUAUUAUUAUUGUCUUUUAUACCAUUGGAUGUCUUCGCAAAUUCAAAUGGGCAUAUCUCAUAUUUACGGUGCUACACUUUGUUUUUAUCGUGUUCGAAUGUGCUUGACAAUACCACAAAUUAAUAUAAAAAUAGCUAUAACAUUAAACGAUAAACAAUUAAGCGAUAUAUUUCUGUGCUCUCUAACGCAUAAAAAAAGUGAAAAAAAGGAAAGGUCCCUCUUGUUUUACGCCGCAUAUGAAUAAUGAAUAUUGUACAAUCACUUUAAAGGAAACUGGAUUUUCCGCUAAAUAAAGCCAAAUUGAGGAGACAUCAUUAAUAGUGUGUCGUUGCAUCGCUUUAUACCGCGCACACAUAUAAGGCAGAAUUUUCGUUGCGCUUAUUUCUCCUUUCAUCGCAUCAGUCAUACUCCAUAUUUUGAUGACGCCUGAGAUCAAGAAUAUGUGUAUUUGUAUACGUAAUAGCAUUCAUAUGAACAUGGAACACUAACGAUGAGGUUUUAACACACAUAACGCGUAAUAGCUUCUUUUCGUAACGGUGAACAAGUUGAUUUGUUUUCAGAUCGCAUUUAUUUAUGUUUUUAUAUCUGUUGUUAGUUUUGUAUAUUGUUGUACAUUUGACGCAACCAAACAAUAAUCGUAAUUUUCUCAGCAAUUCAGCUGUCUGUAACACAUCUUAUUCGAGAAAAUGCUGGAUAAUAUGUUCUUUUGCAAAUUUUCCUUUCUCAAACGCUCAGAAAAAUACGUAAAGUUCUGCUUAAAUAUAUUACACUUGAAUCAAUUAUUCGUUCUAUUUUAUUAGUAUUCCUAACAGUAUUUGCAAUAUAGCAACGAUUUUUACGAUAAGGCAUUUAGGCUUGUUAUUAGUACACUGCUAAAUCACCGCUUAUAAAUGCUUACAAACACCGAAGAACAUUAAUAACUGGAGAAAUCGCCGUCAGAGUUUGUGCUUUUAAUAAACGCAUUGAUCGCUACCGCAGUUACUUAGCAACUCUCCACGUUAACAAAAGUUUGCCAAAGCAUACUUCAAAGAUUAACAGCAUUUUACAGAGUUGUGUUUAUAUCUAAUAGUACAAAAUAAAACCACUGUUAUGAUUAAGGGAAACUUUCAACAUUUGUGGUCUUCCCAAAUAUUUAACCCAAAUAAACACACAAUAUUCUUUCCCAAGGACCUUAAAUGUUUUGCGGAGACUAAUGAAAUCAUAGAUAUCACUAUCCUUGUUGGCAAUCCAGCUACUAAUGGUCAGGCUGAAAAUGCAGUCAAUAUCGUUAAAGAUACCUUGAAGCACACCUAAAAAUAUGGUUUCAAUAUCGUUUAAUGUUGUUUCGUCGAAAGACUAUCGAAACACUCUUCAUUUAUUGAAAGCAUCAGCUUUAUAAAAAAUACUUAAGAAACAGGUUCGAUUUAAUUAACGUAUACAAAUAAGAACAGCAGAAUACAAAUAAAAAUAAAAAAUUUGUUCUAAAGCAACAAUGUAAGCCACGAAAAUAUUUUAUAUAA